This 463-nucleotide long non-coding RNA is filed under the name Amborella trichopoda. RNAcentral describes it as "long non-coding RNA (ATRI_LNC001397)". The record is from RNAcentral. Lineage: Eukaryota; Viridiplantae; Streptophyta; Magnoliopsida; Amborellales; Amborellaceae.
UACACUUACUUCAUUUAUAUAACUAACUCCUACACAUUAAAAUUAACUACAAAGCACAGAGCUAUGAUUAUAACUUCACACCUCCACUUGCAAGGCACAGAAUACAAAUAAGGAAAAAGUUUAUAUAGAGCCGAGGCUCUAAACAAUCAAAUUAGAGUCCACUUCAAAAAUUUCACUAGAAGACGUUGAUUUGAUGCCCAAAUAUCCUCAGAUUGGUCCAUCUCGAUAUCAAGAUGCAUGGACAUGUGAAAAAAUUGGAUUUCAAGUUUUGGGAAUCGUGCAUCUUGUAACGCAUUUAUGGACCGUCAAUUUUUGAGAUUUUCCGGUUUUCAUAGAUACGCUUGAUCUACACUAUUUUUGAAGCUUUAAAUUUUAUAUUUUAAGGUUGUCACAAAGAUUUCCAAUAUUGAAACCACAUUUCUCAACACUAUUUAGAAGUGCGCUUUACUUUGAUCGUUUAGAG